GGUAAUUAGUUUAAACAAAAUAAAUGAUUUCGACUCAUUAGAUUAUGAAUCAUAUCAUAAUUACCA
RNAcentral lists this transfer RNA (66 nucleotides) under Ochrotomys nuttalli. RNAcentral's name for it is "tRNA-Arg". It matches the Rfam family "tRNA". From Rfam's summary of the family: Transfer RNA (tRNA) molecules are approximately 80 nucleotides in length. Their secondary structure includes four short double-helical elements and three loops (D, anti-codon, and T loops). Further hydrogen bonds mediate the characteristic L-shaped molecular structure. tRNAs have two regions of fundamental functional importance: the anti-codon, which is responsible for specific mRNA codon recognition, and the 3' end, to which the tRNAs corresponding amino acid is attached (by aminoacyl-tRNA synthetases). tRNAs cope with the degeneracy of the genetic code in two manners: having more than one tRNA (with a specific anti-codon) for a particular amino acid; and 'wobble' base-pairing, i.e. permitting non-standard base-pairing at the 3rd anti-codon position. Lineage: Eukaryota; Metazoa; Chordata; Mammalia; Rodentia; Cricetidae. The record is from RNAcentral.